GUCCUUAGUACGAGAGGACCGGGAUGGACAUACCUCUGGUGUACCAGUUGUCGUGCCAACGGCAUAGCUGGGUAGCUAUGUGUGGACGGGAUAAGUGCUGAAAGCAUCUAAGCAUGAAGCCCCCCUCAAGAUGAGAUUUCCCAACUUCGGUUAUAAGAUCCCUCAAAGAUGAUGAGGUUAAUAGGUUCGAGGUGGAAGCAUGGUGACAUGUGGAGCUGACGAAUACUAAUCGAUCGAAGACUUAAUCAAAA
RNAcentral lists this ribosomal RNA (251 nucleotides) under Staphylococcus aureus. RNAcentral's name for it is "partial 23S ribosomal RNA". It matches the Rfam family "Bacterial large subunit ribosomal RNA", at positions 2674 to 2925 of the family's 2925-position model. The record is from RNAcentral. Lineage: Bacteria; Bacillati; Bacillota; Bacilli; Caryophanales; Staphylococcaceae.